This 491-nucleotide ribosomal RNA is filed under the name uncultured bacterium. RNAcentral's name for it is "partial 16S ribosomal RNA". It matches the Rfam family "Bacterial small subunit ribosomal RNA", at positions 28 to 507 of the family's 1533-position model. The record is from RNAcentral.
GAUGAACGCUGGCUACAGGCUUAACACAUGCAAGUCGAGGGGAAACGACGGGGAAGCUUGCUUCCCCGGGCGUCGACCGGCGCACGGGUGAGUAACGCGUAUCCAACCUGCCUCUGACUGAGGGAUAACCCGUCGAAAGUCGGCCUAAUACCUCAUGGCAUCGUCUGCGGGCAUCCAACGACGAUUAAAGAUUUCAUCGGUCAGGGAUGGGGAUGCGUCUGAUUAGCUUGUUGGCGGGGUAACGGCCCACCAAGGCUACGAUCAGUAGGGGUUCUGAGAGGAAGGCCCCCCACAUUGGAACUGAGACACGGUCCAAACUCCUACGGGAGGCAGCAGUGAGGAAUAGUGGUCAAUGGGCGGGAGCCUGAACCAGCCAAGUAGCGUGCAGGAUGACGGCCCUAUGGGUUGUAAACUGCUUUUAUGCGGGGAGAAAGUGAGGGACGUGUCCUUCAUUGCAGGUACCGCAUGAAUAAGGACCGGCUAAUUCCGUG